ACUAUUAAUUUCCAAGGUGUAAGAUUUGUUCAUGAUAAAACACACUGGUUCUUCAUUCUUGCUCUCCAUUGGUCCUCCAUCUCAAUCCCAAAAUAAGAUGGUGUAGAGCAAGAUCGAUUCUGUCUCAGCCUGACUCAUAGGUCGAUCUCUGGAUUUCUCUUCAAAAUAGUCGGUUGUCGUCGUCUGUGGAUUUCUUUUCUGUAAUCGACUUCGUCUUUCUCCAUCUCUCUCACACUCUCCCCUGUACCAGAUUUUCAUCUGCAAUUUAUCAAAGGGAUUGAUUCAUAUACAUUGAUCGAUUCCUUUCAAAGGGAUUUAACGAUGCUACAACACAAGUAGAGGAGGUAUUGUUGCUUGGCUUGGUCAAAAGUAUUAUCUUCACUCUAAAGGCAAUAUAAGGACAUAUUGGUUGUGAAGCCACAUGUUUCUCUCAAUUGCUUGCAAAGUUAAGAGUUUAUGGUGAUGUUGUUAUUAGGGAGACGGUUGGAUGAUGACAAUCUUCAUCUUAUCAUCUUGGAUAUGAUGUUGCCGAAGGUCUCUUUUUUCUCUUACACUUGGACAGAUCAUUCUUGAUAUGUAUUCUAAUUUGUUUGGCCUUUAUUUUUGCUAUAUACAUAUAUAUGAAUAGGUAAGUGAGAAAGACAUUUGAAAAACUUUAACAUGUUUGAUGAUUACAACUGUUUUUUG
Molecule: long non-coding RNA, 687 nt
Organism: Cynara cardunculus var. scolymus (artichoke)
Lineage: Eukaryota; Viridiplantae; Streptophyta; Magnoliopsida; Asterales; Asteraceae
Exons: 4
Source: RefSeq, a predicted model, not a curated record